RNAcentral lists this ribosomal RNA (321 nucleotides) under uncultured Oscillospiraceae bacterium. Its description in RNAcentral is "bacterial SSU rRNA". It matches the Rfam family "Bacterial small subunit ribosomal RNA", at positions 27 to 334 of the family's 1533-position model. The record is from RNAcentral. Lineage: Bacteria; Bacillati; Bacillota; Clostridia; Eubacteriales; Oscillospiraceae.
AAAACACGGAUGAACGCUGGCGGCGUGCUUAACACAUGCAAGUCGAACGGGGAUACCUGAGUAGCAAUACGAAGGUAUUCUAGUGGCGGACGGGUGAGUAACGCGUGAGGAACCUGCCUUGGAGAGGGGAAUAACACACUGAAAAGUGUGCUAAUACCGCAUGAUAUAUCGAAGUCGCAUGGCUUUGAUAUCAAAGAUUUAUCGCUCUAAGAUGGCCUCGCGUCUGAUUAGCUAGUUGGUGGGGUAACGGCCCACCAAGGCGACGAUCAGUAGCCGGACUGAGAGGUUGACCGGCCACAUUGGGACUGAGAUACGGCCCAG